GGAGGAAAAGAAACCAACAGGGAUUGCCUCAGUAACGGCGAGUGAAGCGGCAAAAGCUCAAAUUUGAAAUCCCCCCGGGGAGUUGUAAUUUGAAGAUUGCGUCUUGGAGGCGACCGUGUCUAUGUUCCUUGGAACAGGACGUCACAGAGGGUGAGAAUCCCGUGCGGCACGGCCCCCGGCUCCUUAUAAGGCGCUCUCGACGAGUCGAGUUGUUUGGGAAUGCAGCUCAAAGUGGGUGGUAAAUUCCAUCUAAAGCUAAAUACAGGCGAGAGACCGAUAGCGAACAAGUACAGUGAUGGAAAGAUGAAAAGCACUUUGAAAAGAGAGUGAAACAGCACGUGAAAUUGUUGAAAGGGAAGGGCAUGCCGUCAGAUUGUCAGUGUGGGUAAGAAGCGGGGUACAAAGACUGUGGAACGUGGCCCUCGGGUGUUAUAGCCGCAGUUCAUGCCCCGUCUCUUUCCGAGGCCUGCUUUGAGGACACCGACGUAAUGACGGUACGCCGCCCGUCUU
This 510-nucleotide ribosomal RNA is filed under the name Kodamaea ohmeri. Its description in RNAcentral is "eukaryotic LSU rRNA". It matches the Rfam family "Eukaryotic large subunit ribosomal RNA", at positions 52 to 655 of the family's 3401-position model. The record is from RNAcentral. Lineage: Eukaryota; Fungi; Ascomycota; Pichiomycetes; Serinales; Debaryomycetaceae.